GAAUUCAGAUAAACUCCGAAUGCCAUGUACUUAUACUCGGGAGUCAGACUGCGAGUGAUAAGAUCCGUAGUCGAAAGGGAAACAGCCCAGACCACCAGUUAAGGUCCCCAAAUAUAUGUUAAGUGGAAAAGGAUGUGGGGUUGCUUAGACAACCAGGAUGUUGGCUUAGAAGCAGCCACCAUUGAAAGAGUGCGUAAUAGCUCACUGGUCGAGUGACCCCGCGCCGAAAAUGUACCGGGGCUAAACAUAUUACCGAAACUGUGGAUGAACCUCUUUAGAGGUUCGUGGUAGGAGAGCGUUCUAAGGGCGGUGAAGUCAGACCGGAAGGACUGGUGGAGCGCUUAGAAGUGAGAAUGCCGGUAUGAGUAGCGAAAGAAGGGUGAGAAUCCCUUCCACCGAAUAUCUAAGGUUUCCUGAGGAAGGCUCGUCCGCUCAGGGUUAGUCGGGACCUAAGCCGAGGCCGAUAGGCGUAGGCGAUGGACAACAGGUAGAGAUUCCUGUACCAGUGCUAAUUGUUUAACCGAUGGGGUGACACAGAAGGAUAGGGAAUCGCACGAAUGGAAAUGUGCGUCCAAGCAGUGAGUGUGAG
This 589-nucleotide ribosomal RNA is filed under the name Listeria monocytogenes. RNAcentral describes it as "partial 23S ribosomal RNA". It matches the Rfam family "Bacterial large subunit ribosomal RNA", at positions 941 to 1529 of the family's 2925-position model. The record is from RNAcentral. Lineage: Bacteria; Bacillati; Bacillota; Bacilli; Caryophanales; Listeriaceae.